This 370-nucleotide ribosomal RNA is filed under the name uncultured bacterium. Its description in RNAcentral is "bacterial SSU rRNA". It matches the Rfam family "Bacterial small subunit ribosomal RNA", at positions 29 to 412 of the family's 1533-position model. The record is from RNAcentral.
AACGAACGCUGGCGGCAGGCCUAACACAUGCAAGUCGAACGCCGUAGCAAUACGGAGUGGCAGACGGGUGAGUAACGCGUGGGAACAUACCCCUCGGUUCGGAAUAACUCAGGGAAACUUGAGCUAAUACCGGAUACGUCCGAGGUUUUAAUCGGCCUUGGAGAAAGAUUUAUCGCCGGAGGAUUGGCCCGCGUCUGAUUAGCUUGUUGGUGAGGUGAUGGCUCACCAAGGCGACGAUCAGUAGCUGGUCUGAGAGGAUGAUCAGCCACAUUGGGACUGAGACACGGCCCAAACUCCUACGGGAGGCAGCAGUGGGGAAUAUUGGACAAUGGGCGAAAGCCUGAUCCAGCCAUGCCGCGUGAGUGAUGAA